Molecule: ribosomal RNA, 253 nt
Filed under: uncultured prokaryote
Description: partial 16S ribosomal RNA
Rfam family: Bacterial small subunit ribosomal RNA
Source: RNAcentral
CACGUACUGUGCGAACGUUAUUCGGAAUCACUGGGCUUAAAGGGUGCGUAGGUGGCAAUUCAAGUCAGGUGUGAAAUGCCUGAGCUCAACUGAGGCAUUGCGCUUGAAACUGAACUGCUAGAGUAUUCCAGGGGUGUGCGGAACUGCCAGUGGAGCGGUGAAAUGUGUUGAUAUUGGCAGGAACACCGGAGGCGAAAGCGGCACACUGGGGGAUAACUGACACUGAGGCACGAAAGCCAGGGGAGCGAACGGG